UCCGGAGUCCUAGAGAGGGCGCCUCAGCAGCCGGCUGGAGAUGCACUUCCGGUCUUUGUUUGUCAGUGGCGACGGCGGCUUGCGGGGGUCACGGGCAGCACCCGUGGUAGCUCUGAGAUCCCAUCGCUAGGUGUCAGUCACCGAACAGAACGUGCCUGUUCUCUGCGAGAGCACGUCUCUCCUCCCGCCCCCCACACUUUUGACCUCUCCCUCCCUUUGUGCCCCCUAUGCAGCGGGACGAUUAAAGAGAGCCUCCUUUUAUACACACUUGGCAAAUGGGAAGAGAAAGAGGAGCCAUAAAUUCCAGAAAAUGAUGAGGAAUUGAGAUGUGGAGAGGCCAAGUCACUUGCAUAAAACCACACACACAACAAGAGGCAAGGGCCAGGGUGCGCCUCCAGCCUUUAUGCUCUUUCCACUACGCCACACUUCCUCCUCAUUUGGCUAUGAAGUGAGGCAAGCAGAGAACCUGUCCAGUAUGUAACCACCUUGCGGAUGGCUCUCAGGAGAGAGCCUUACACCUCAGAGACAUGGUGGAAGCCAAAAUGGUUGGCUGUACUGCACUGCUUAGGGACCUGCAGUCUGUCCACGGAUACCAUCAGUCUCACCUGUGGAUGGACUGGCCCCACCUGAGAGGACCCAAGAGAACUUCCUUCUCCCUCUGACUUACCUUUCUGCAGUGCAGCCGACUGCGCCUUCUCAUUCCUGUUCUUAAUACUUGAAAGCAGGAGAAAUAGCACCCUGAACCGAAAAACCAUGAUUCUCCAAGUCUGAUGUUCUCUCAGUAACAGGAAGCACCAGCCCAGCACAUGCUGCAGUCUGUGUUAUAGGAGAUAGGAUGUGGCAAACUGGGGAAAUGGGCGGAAUUAGUCAAUUACAAGAUUCCAGGACAAGAGGAAAGUCCAUAUGCAGGACUUCUUAUCAGCUCAUAUGCAGAGGUAUAUGGCACAAAAGAACAGCAGCCAUCACAGAAAUCCACUAUUCUGGGAGUUUGCACAGUAGCCAGUACUUUAAUUUUGCUUUUUACCCUCUUUAUUCUUUGUUCUGCAGAGUUGGUUUUUCCCAUAUCCAUUUACCCCAAGUUUUUCAAAUAAACUUUUUG
Molecule: long non-coding RNA, 1099 nt
Organism: Fukomys damarensis (Damara mole-rat)
Lineage: Eukaryota; Metazoa; Chordata; Mammalia; Rodentia; Bathyergidae
Exons: 3
Source: RefSeq, a predicted model, not a curated record